AUCCUUUUGUAGUUCAUGAGCGUGACGAUUGGGUGUUCACGCUCUUGUGUGGUAUGUGCCUCCCACGAACCUAGGUACAACCUCAGCACAUUAGCCGGCUGACA
This is a small nucleolar RNA of Phyllostomus hastatus (greater spear-nosed bat), 104 nucleotides long. RefSeq annotates it as small nucleolar RNA U13. The transcript has a single exon. Lineage: Eukaryota; Metazoa; Chordata; Mammalia; Chiroptera; Phyllostomidae. The record is from RefSeq and is a predicted model, not a curated record.